This 459-nucleotide ribosomal RNA is filed under the name uncultured bacterium. RNAcentral's name for it is "SSU rRNA". It matches the Rfam family "Bacterial small subunit ribosomal RNA", at positions 26 to 518 of the family's 1533-position model. The record is from RNAcentral.
AGAAUCAACGCUGGCGGCGUGCCUAACACAUGCAAGUCGAACGAGAAAGUGGAGCAAUCCAUGAGUAAAGUGGCGUACGGGUGAGUAACACGUGACUAACCUACCCUCGAGUGGGGAAUAACCUCGGGAAACCGGGGCUAAUACCGCAUAAUAUCUUCGGAUCAAAUGCGUAAGCAGCUUGAGGAGGGGGUCGCGGCCGAUUAGCUAGUUGGCGGGGUAAUGGCCCACCAAGGCAAUGAUCGGUAGCCGGCCUGAGAGGGCGCACGGCCACACUGGAACUGAAACACGGUCCAGACUCCUACGGGAGGCAGCAGUGGGAAUUUUGCGCAAUGGGGGAAACCCUGACGCAGCAACGCCGCGUGGAGGAUGAAGCCCCUUGGGGUGUAAACUCCUUUCGAUCGGGACGAUUAUGACGGUACCGGAUGAAGAAGCACCGGCUAACUCUGCGCCAGCAGCCGC